CAGCGAAUCUGGAAAAUGUCAAACAUUCAGGACUUUGAUUUUGUCACAGAGCGUCCCUCCCAGAACAUUCUGAUGAAAAGCAAAACAAAAUGAGGAAGAAAAUGAUGCUCUGCCUCAGCGCGUUGCACAAUAACGCAGGUCCUGCCUACAAGGUUACUCUGUCCCUGGAAGAUGAGGAUAGGAGAGAAGGAAACUGGAGCUGCCCUGAAGCUCUGCAAGAACGUAUUUAAGUGGAAAUAAUAAUGAUGCAAUUAUUUUUUCCAUAAAAAUAACGUUUAGUUGAGAAUUCGAUCCUUCCAAAAAGAAAGCAGUAAUGACUAAAAAUCUUCUGUUGCAAAAUGACUUUGGGGAUAAUGGAGUUACUGGGGGGAGGCUCCUUCAGUGCUGCAGCUCCUCUCGAAGCUUUUUGUGUGCGUGUGUUUAAAAUGAGAAUGUGCAAAAUGUGUUGGCAACAAACAGCGUGGUCUUUGCUUCACUUCUCCUGAAGUGGUGCCUUCCUUUGGAUGCACAUCGGAGCAGAGGGUAGCUGGCUGAGCUGCACCGUGUGGGAUGGUGCUGAGUGAGGGAUCUCCUCUUACCUGGGCUCUGAUUUUUUUGGUUUUGUAUCUUACUUGAAGAAAUGUGUAUUUUUAUAUCUAUAUCAGAAGGGAGCAUCAGGUUGUGCCACUCGUGUUUCGAUAUGGGGCUCUGCUGAUUUUUGCCCCCUUUUUGCACUUUUUCCUUUGGUUUGUGGGUUGUAUGCUCGGAGUCCCUCAAAUUUAUUCAAUGGGGACCUGAGCUGCUGCCCUUGCUUGGUGUCUCCAGUCUCUCACAUCAGUUAGCGCUGUGCACCCUCUUAUGGCUUUCUCAUGGGGAGAAAUUAGGCAGCUGGAAUAGGAUGCCCCUGCCUAGAGAAGAGGUUUUCUUCCAUCAGGUUCCCAGAUGGGCAGGUGAUGGAGGCAGGCCCCUUGUUUAACCUUGCACGUGGAGCAGCGGGGAUUUAACAGGGAGGCUGUUGGAAGCGCGGUGCUUUGGGGAGGAGGAGGCAGGGCUGCCCUGCGCUGCUUCGCUUCAGACACUUCUGCUUUGGUCGCUUCGAGUGAAUGAUGGAUGAGCUUCCCGGGCAGGUUUUGAAGGGUCUGAAAAAUGUGCCGGGGUUGCCUCCAUUCCUCACUUUAUAUUUCUGACACGGGAAGGGAGGAUGAAGGAUGCGAGGCACCUUCCUUUAGAUUUGCGGAACUUAGGCCUGACGCGGUUAAUCAUUAGGAUUUCUGAUGGAAAUGGAGCACAGACCUGCACGUGUUGUCACCGAGGAGGAGUGCUGGGCAGAGCUCAUGUGCAGGGAGAUGCUCGAGUGGUGCAGCCAGUGCCGUGGGACGGGAAGGCAGGGCAGGGUGGGGUGGUGAACCCCAGGGCUGAACCUCCAGCUGAGGCUGCUGAGCUUCCCGAAGGCAGAGCACACACACAGACUCUUCUCCUUUCCCUUUGUUAAAUCAAAGGAGAACCACUAAUUAUUUUAAACCUCUUCUUUGUUUUUCUGCCUUUUGGUUGACUGCAGAUGUACCAGGGGUCACAGCUGACCUUUUUAGUCUUCACCUGAGCACCUGGUGUGGUCUGGUGUCCCACCUUGUGGUGCUUGAUUGAGGGCCUGGGGAGGUACAGAGGCUUUAAACAAAAUGAUUUUCCAUCAGAAACAGAGAAAAGGAUAAACUCACUUCUGCUCUCUGCCGUGUAGAAAUCCUGCCACUUCCUCAGAAACGUCCUUAGGAAAGACCUGUCAAAUGUAAUGUUGCUGGAAAAUUUUUGGCCAGCCUUAGAGAGGCCCAGCUGUGUGCACACGUGUCCGUGCUGCCUGCGUUAGCUCUGGGUUUGUGUGCCUCAGAGCAGGAGGCUUUAUUCAUCCGAUGUGACCACCGCCGAGGCUCAGAAAUACCACCUGACUCUGCUGCCAAAACCCAUCGGGCCCAAACAUGAGCGAAUCUGCAUUGUUGGGGGCGGGUUUGAGGCCCUGUGUGUUGCAUUAUUUUCUCUGUAAAGCAAAGCAAAGGUGGCACUUGACCCCGAGAGCGUUGGAGUUGCCUCCAGAAACCUGGUGGGAUGUGAGUGGUGAUGGGGAAGGGGGUAGCGGGGUCAGAGAAACAAAAAGCAUCUGGAUUGCGGGAGGAAUUGGCUCUGGAGAAGUGGGAAGAUUGUUUCAUUUCUCUGCCUGUCCUUCCAUUUCUCCAGGAUUUAUUGCCAUGAAGAUUGCUCCCGUUCUCAUUAACAAACCUCUGCUCCCUGCUGCCAUGGGGUCGCUAUUAACCCCUCAGUGGUGUGUGCGCGGGGAGAGGUUGUAGCAGCUGUUCACAUCAUCUCCACCACAACGAGCCUCCAGAAACACGAAAAGCAGAUUCAGAAAGCCUCUAAAACUGCACUGAAUCCCUGGUGUUUCUUGGAAAAUGCCCUCGUUCCCCAGGGAUGCUGAGGAUCCCAGCUGUUGGUGUGGCUGAGCGAUGGGAACGCACGGGGCUGGCAGCUUUGGGACUGGUCGCAGUUACCCUCCUGUUCUCUGCAUCAGGGUAACGAGGUGAUGAGGCUCUUAUGGGGCUGGAACUGUGUCUGAUAAUUAAAAAUGAAAAUCCUUAGGAGAUCUAGUGCAGGAAUAUUGCUGAAGAAAAAGAGCAGUGCGGGGAGGUGAGGGAACAUUGGGGACUGGAUGAGCAUGCUGAGUGCGGGCAUGCAAAGAGUGAAAAUGCUUUGUCGAAGGACUUUUCCAGUGAAAAAGGGGUUUGCAGAUCCAAUCAAAGAUUUUAAUGGAAAAUAAAAAAAAAACAAAGCUAAUUUGAGGGUACUGCAUGCUUUUCAGUUCUUGGCAGUUACUUUUUUGGAUUUGGAAAAGAAAUACAUGCAUUUGAAAUCUCACAUCUGACCAUUGUUCUGGAAAAAAUUGCCAAUGACUUGCUGAAAAAUGAACUAUUAAAAGGAAAAAAAAAAGAAAAGAAAAUUGAAAAGACCCAAUGAAACACUACCUUCAGGCUUUGAGAUUUGAAAUUGAGAAAUUGUCAACAAAGUUAAUUCUGGAACUUUUUCAAGAAAAGGUGAUUUCCUUAAAAUGCUUGCUGCUUGUUUCACAGACCUCCCUGAGCCGUUGUCAGACCUUGGUGUCUGAUGGCCCUUUGCAGAAGUGAUGCUCCAUGUGUCUGUGCAUUUUUUUUUAGUGGAUUUGCAUUUAAGGCAUGUUUAGCAGUGCAGUUGUUCCCCAAGCCUCUGUG
Non-coding RNA from Anas platyrhynchos (mallard), 3230 nucleotides. The record is from RefSeq and is a predicted model, not a curated record. NCBI's taxonomy places the organism in Eukaryota, Metazoa, Chordata, Aves, Anseriformes, Anatidae.